GACGAACGCUGGCGGCGUGCUUAACACAUGCAAGUCGAACGGAAAGGCCCUGCUUUUGUGGGGUGCUCGAGUGGCGAACGGGUGAGUAACACGUGAGUAACCUGCCCUUGACUUUGGGAUAACUUCAGGAAACUGGGGCUAAUACCGGAUAGGAGCUCCUGCUGCAUGGUGGGGGUUGGAAAGUUUCGGCGGUUGGGGAUGGACUCGCGGCUUAUCAGCUUGUUGGUGGGGUAGUGGCUUACCAAGGCUUUGACGGGUAGCCGGCCUGAGAGGGUGACCGGCCCCAUUGGGACUGAGAUACGGGCCAGACUCCUACGGGAGGGAGGAGUGGGGAAUUAUGCACAAUGGGCGGAAGCCUGAUGCAGCAACGCCGCGUGCGGGAUGACGGCCCUCGGGUUGGAAACCGCUUUCGCCUGUGACGAAGCGUGAGUGACGGUAAUGGGUAAAGAAGCACCGGCUAACUACGUG
This 468-nucleotide ribosomal RNA is filed under the name uncultured bacterium. RNAcentral's name for it is "partial 16S ribosomal RNA". It matches the Rfam family "Bacterial small subunit ribosomal RNA", at positions 28 to 507 of the family's 1533-position model. The record is from RNAcentral.